UCUUAAGUCUGAUGUGAAAGCCCACGGCUCAACCGUGGAGGGUCAUUGGAAACUGGGAGACUUGAGUGCAGAAGAGGAUAGUGGAAUUCCAAGUGUAGCGGUGAAAUGCGUAGAGAUUUGGAGGAACACCAGUGGCGAAGGCGACUAUCUGGUCUGUAACUGACACUGAGGCGCGAAAGCGUGGGGAGCAAACAGGAUUAGAAACCCCAGUAGUCCGCGCCGUAAACGAUGAGUGCUAAGUGUUAGGGGGUCUCC
RNAcentral lists this ribosomal RNA (255 nucleotides) under Lysinibacillus sphaericus. RNAcentral describes it as "partial 16S ribosomal RNA". It matches the Rfam family "Bacterial small subunit ribosomal RNA", at positions 581 to 836 of the family's 1533-position model. The record is from RNAcentral. Lineage: Bacteria; Bacillati; Bacillota; Bacilli; Caryophanales; Bacillaceae.